GUCCCGGUAGCUCAGUCCGGUUAGAGCACCUGACUGUUAAUCAGGGGGUCGCAGGUUCAAAUCCUGCCUGGGACG
RNAcentral lists this transfer RNA (75 nucleotides) under Nanobdellota archaeon. RNAcentral's name for it is "tRNA-Asn". It matches the Rfam family "tRNA". From Rfam's summary of the family: Transfer RNA (tRNA) molecules are approximately 80 nucleotides in length. Their secondary structure includes four short double-helical elements and three loops (D, anti-codon, and T loops). Lineage: Archaea; Nanobdellati; Nanobdellota. The record is from RNAcentral. RNAcentral also lists the same sequence under 1 other name.